AAAAAGACAAACCCUGAGUUUUCGUGUCCAACUUUGACUGUCCGUCUUAUAUGAAAUUUUUUUAUAAUUCGUAUUUUCAUUGUUGUUAAAUGAUAAAACAUGAUUAAUAUUUUAUGCGUGACUUGUCUUUUUUACUUUUUUUUUCAUAAUUUUUUCAAAUAAGACGGACGGUCAAACGUUGGGUACGGAAAUCAGGGUUUGUCUUUUU
Molecule: non-coding RNA, 208 nt
Organism: Oryza barthii
Lineage: Eukaryota; Viridiplantae; Streptophyta; Magnoliopsida; Poales; Poaceae
Source: Rfam